RNAcentral lists this transfer RNA (73 nucleotides) under Tremella mesenterica DSM 1558. RNAcentral describes it as "tRNA-Lys (TTT) (tRNA-Lys-TTT-1-1)". It matches the Rfam family "tRNA". From Rfam's summary of the family: Transfer RNA (tRNA) molecules are approximately 80 nucleotides in length. Lineage: Eukaryota; Fungi; Basidiomycota; Tremellomycetes; Tremellales; Tremellaceae. The record is from RNAcentral.
GCCUCGCUAACUCAGUUGGUAGAGUGUGAGACUUUUAAUCUCACGGUCGAGGGUUCGAGCCCCUCGCGAGGCU